RNAcentral lists this ribosomal RNA (500 nucleotides) under uncultured bacterium. Its description in RNAcentral is "partial 16S ribosomal RNA". It matches the Rfam family "Bacterial small subunit ribosomal RNA", at positions 28 to 507 of the family's 1533-position model. The record is from RNAcentral.
GACGAACGCUGGCGGCGUGCCUAAUACAUGCAAGUCGAGCGGACUUUCCGGAGUGUUUGCACUUCGGAAGGUUAGCGGCGGGCGGGUGAGUAACACGUAGCCAACCUUCGCAUAAGACCGGGAUACCAUUCGGAAACGAAUGUUAAUACCGGAUAGACGGACUUCUUGCAUGAGGUGAUCGGGAAAGGCCGAGCAAUCUGCCGCUCACGGCUUGUCCUGCGGUGCAUUAGCUAGUUGGUGGGGUAACGAUCUACCAAGGCGACGAUGGGGAGACGAACUGGGAGGCGGGUAGGCCGCACUAGAACGGAGACGCGGCCCAGACUCCUGCGGGAGGCCGCAGUAGGGUAUCGGCCGCAAUAGACGGGAGUCUGGCGGAGCGACGGCGCGUGAGUGGGGGAGGCCUUCGGGUCGUGAAGCUCUGUUGCCAGGGAAGAACGGGCAGGGGAGUAACUGACCUUGCCGUGACGGUAACUGGGAAGGAAGCCCCGGCUAACUACGUG